AGGGCGUACGGUGAAUGCCUUGGUGCCAACAGGCGAAGAAGGACGCGGCAAGCUGCGAAAAACCUCGGGAAGCUGCAAGCAAGCGAUGAUCCGGGGGUAUCCGAAUGGGGUAACCUGAUCGAGGCAAUACUCGAUCGUUCAUACCUGAAUACAUAGGGUAUGAAACGCGAAACCCGCUGAAGUGAAACAUCUCAGUAAGCGGAGGAAAAGAAAGAGAAAUCGAUUCCGUAAGUAGUGGCGAGCGAAAGCGGAUGGAGCCCAAACCGAAGGUACUCCUUCGGGGUUGUAGGACCACGACAUAUUCGACCAUACUGGAUAGUAGAACAGCCUGGAAAGGCUGGCCAUAGAAGGUGAAAGCCCUGUAGACGAAAUCCAGAGUGGGAAUUAGUGGAAUCCUGAGUAAUACAUCACACGUGGAACGAUGUAUGAAUCCGCGCGGACCACCGCGCAAGGCUAAAUACUAGUUGGCGACCGAUAGUGAACAAGUACCGCGAGGGAAAGGUGAAAAGAACCGCUGUGAGCGGAGUGAAAUAGAACCUGAAACCGUAUGUCUACAAAGUGUCAGAGCAGAGCGAUCUGCGAUGGCGUGCCUUUUGUUUAAUGAGUCUGCGAGUCAGUGUUUGUGGCAAGACUAAGGGCUUCCGGCCCGGAGUCGCAGCGAAAGCAAGUCCGAAUAGGGCGAAUCAAGUCGCAGGUACUGGACCCGAAGCGGAGGUGACCUACCCUUGGCCAGGUUGAAGCAUGGGUAAAACCAUGUGGAGGACCGAACAGGUGAACGUUGAAAAGUUCUCUGAUGAGCUGAGGGUAGGAGUGAAAGGCUAAUCAAACCCCGUGAUAGCUGGUUCUCUUCGAAAUGCAUUUAGGUGCAGCGUCACGUGCUGAUGCGCGGGGGUAGAGCACUGACAAGGCUAGGGGGCACACCCGCUUACCAAACCUUAUCAAACUCCGAAUACCGUGCAAUGGAACGUGGCAGUGAGACAGUGGGGGAUAAGCUUCAUUGUCGAGAGGGAAACAACCCAGACCAGCAGCUAAGGUGCCUAAAUAACGCUCAGUGGAAAGGAUGUGGGAUUACACAGACAGUGAGGAUGUUGGCUUAGAAGCAGCCACCAUUUAAAAAAUGCGUAAUAGCUUACUCAUCGAGUGAUCCUGCGCCGAAAAUGAUUGGCGAUCAAGCGUUAUACCGAAGCUCUGGACUUUGCCGCAAGGCAGAGUGGUAGAAGAGCGUUGCAUGCGCAUUGAAGGGUGAUGGCGACUGACCCUGGAGCGCAUGCAAGUGAGUAUGCAGACAUGAGUAACGUAAAGCCGGGUGAAAUCCCCGGCCGCCGUAAACCCGAGGUUUCCAGGGCAACGUGUUUCGUCCCUGGGUUAGCCGGGACCUAAGCCGAGGCCGAGAGGCGUAGGCGAUGGACAUCAGGUUAAUAAUCCUGAGCUCGCGACCCUUAAACUGGGGGGACGCAUGAGAAAAGAUGACUAGGUUAUUGAAUUCCGAGUUGAGUCCACGGACUCAGCGCAUCAUUGGAUCGAGUGCCAAGAAAAGCCCCAGCGUAUGCUAAGCGACCCGUACCGCAAACCGACACAGGUGGGUGGGUAGAAUAUACCAAGGCGUAAGAGUGAAACCUGGUUAAGGAACUCGGCAAAUUAGCCCCGUAACUUCGGAAGAAGGGGUGCCUGCAGCGAUGCAGGCCGCAGAGAAAUGGCCCAACCGACUGUUUAUCAAAAACACAGCACUCUGCAAAGACGCAAGUCGAAGUAUAGGGUGUGACACGUGACCAAUGCCGAAAGAUUAAGGCAAGGGGUUAGCCGCAAGGCGAAGCUCUAAACCCAAGUCCCGGUGAAUGUCGGCCGUAACUAUAACGGUCCUAAGGUAGCGAAAUUCCUUGUCGGGUAAGUUCCGACCUGCACGAAUCGUGAAACGAGUUGGGCACUGUCUCAACCAGGCGCUCAGUGAAAUUGUAGUGGCGGUGAAGAUGCCGCCUACCCGCAGAAGGACGGAAAGACCCUAUAGACCUUAACUGUAAGCUGUCAUUGUUUCUUCGGUUUUAAUGCUCAGAGUAAGUGGGAGACGCUGAAGAUGCCCUUUAGGGGGCAUCCGAGUCAUCAAUGAGACACCACCCUUUGAAACUGGAGGAUCUAACCCUGAGCCGUGAAUCCGGCCAGAGGACCGUGUCAGCCGGUCAGUUUGACUGGGGCGGUAUCCUCCCAAAGA
This 2206-nucleotide ribosomal RNA is filed under the name human gut metagenome. RNAcentral describes it as "bacterial LSU rRNA". It matches the Rfam family "Bacterial large subunit ribosomal RNA", at positions 14 to 2296 of the family's 2925-position model. The record is from RNAcentral.